This 434-nucleotide ribosomal RNA is filed under the name uncultured bacterium. Its description in RNAcentral is "bacterial SSU rRNA". It matches the Rfam family "Bacterial small subunit ribosomal RNA", at positions 341 to 792 of the family's 1533-position model. The record is from RNAcentral.
ACGGGAGGCAGCAGUGGGGAAUAUUGCACAAUGGGGGAAGCCCUGAUGCAGCGACGCCGCGUGAGUGAAGAAGUAUUUCGGUAUGUAAAGCUCUAUCAGCAGGGAAGAAAAUGACGGUACCUGACUAAGAAGCCCCGGCUAACUACGUGCCAGCAGCCGCGGUAAUACGUAGGGGGCAAGCGUUAUCCGGAUUUACUGGGUGUAAAGGGAGCGUAGACGGCGCGGCAAGUCUGAAGUGAAAGCCCGGGGCUUAACCCCGGGGCUGCUUUGGAAACUGCCAUGCUGGAGUGCUGGAGAGGUAAGUGGAAUUCCUAGUGUAGCGGUGAAAUGCGUAGAUAUUAGGAGGAACACCAGUGGCGAAGGCGGCUUACUGGACAGUAACUGACGUUGAGGCUCGAAGGCGUGGGGAGCAAACAGGAUUAGAUACCCUGGUA